GGUGGGUUCUAGCGGUCCGCCUAUGGUGAGUACUGCUAUGGCCUAUCUUACUGCUGGGGACCUGCUCCUGGGCUUCAUUGUCCGGGACAGGGAGUCAGCAUGGUUACCUUGAGUAAAUUAGAGUGUUCAAAGCAGGCUUACGCCCUGAAUACUUUAGCAUGGAAUAACACGAUAGGACUCUGCUCUAUUGUGUUGGCCUGUAGAUGUGGAGUA
This 213-nucleotide ribosomal RNA is filed under the name uncultured fungus. RNAcentral describes it as "partial small subunit ribosomal RNA". The stretch from base 89 to 213 matches the Rfam family "Eukaryotic small subunit ribosomal RNA", at positions 737 to 864 of the family's 1831-position model. The record is from RNAcentral. Lineage: Eukaryota; Fungi.